Long non-coding RNA from Trifolium pratense (red clover), 2691 nucleotides. RefSeq lists it as uncharacterized. Lineage: Eukaryota; Viridiplantae; Streptophyta; Magnoliopsida; Fabales; Fabaceae. The record is from RefSeq and is a predicted model, not a curated record. The transcript is spliced from 7 exons.
AGGGAUCAGAGGCGUGUAGCAGCCGUCCCUUUCAUUCUGUCCGAUGCAUCAGUCUUUGACUACCAUUUUUGGCUAACCUAAUGCUGUUCAAUUUUCUUCAAAUUUAUAAACAAAUAACCCAAUUACUGAUUCAUGAAACUUCAUCUUCAUCAUUGUUUGGUACCAAGAAGCCCAAGCAGAAGAAAAAACAAAAUUGCUGGCAGAAGAACAGUGUAACGUCACUUUCAUCACCAACAAAAAAUCUGAUUGUUAUCGUUUUAGGUACCAGCCUAGAGAAAAAGCAGUCAAAGCUCUACCACUUUCAAAUUCAAAUUUCAAACUCUCUUCCUCCUCUAUCUCUCUCUCUAAACCCCAAAGCUUUUGAGACUCUGAUCGGAGAUCGAACACGAUGGAUGAAGAGUAUGAUGUCAUCGUUUUAGGUACUGGUCUUAAGGAAUGCAUUCUCAGUGGUCUUCUCUCCGUCGAUGGCCUCAAAGUUCUUCACAUGGAUAUUGAAAACUGAGCUCCUCCCUCCCUCAAGGAGGUAAACUUUUCAUUCCUGAAACCUGAAUCAUGUUCUCCCAUAAGUAAAAUGGACUAAAGUGUUUCAGAAUUCAAUUAUCAGAAUUUGAGGAAAAAGGCUCACAAACCCAACGACAACAAAGAUCGAUGAAGCAGAGCACACGGCCCAGCGACAACAAAUGUUAUUGUCUGAUUUUGGGAACCUUGGCAGCUACAUUGGUGGAAAUUUGCUCGAGAUCCUAAUUUUGAGGGAUUGCAUGCAUCUCAAAGAAAUGGAAGUUUCUAAUGCUUUCACUUUGUUCAUUAUUUUAAUACAUAAGCUUAAUAAAUAGAUGUGAGGGGCGUGUGUACUCUCCACUAACCUGUUUAAGGUAUAGUUGCUAAUCAAGGUAAUUACCUACUUAAAAUAUACAUUUAAUUUAUAUGACCACAUUGAAAGAAACAAGUUGAAUCCAACUCCCGUUAGUUUCUUACUAUACAUCAAUUAUAUAGAUAUUUCAUUCAUAUGAAUUUAACUAGGUAACUAUAAAUCAAACUGUUUCAUGAUGCUACAAUAAAUAUUUUGGAAACAUAUAUUUUGAAAAGAUUAUUCAAAUUAGUAACUGUUUUGUCUAUUUUUUCUUUGAAAUAAAAAAUUAUAUACUCUCUUGUGCCAAAUGUAUUUACUAUUAAUAGUUUAUUAUUUAGAACUUUGGAAUAGGGAGUAUUUCUUCCAAUUUUGAAACUAGAGGAAAAUUCACUAUAUCAUGAAUUAAAAUAGGACAUUUAAGUAUAUUAAAAAAAAGUUUUUGUAAGUAUAUAACAUAUUCAAAGCCUCUUAAAGCUAAUGGUUUCUUAAAGCUAUUUAAUUAGUGAAUCAAUGAGACUUGCAUCCGUGAAACGAUUCUAACUGUUUUUUAUAGCUACUUUCUGUAGACUUUUUGUUUGUCAAUCUCAUAUGAAAAUUAUAGCUACUUUCUAUUUGUCAAUCAGACUUGGUUGUGUUCAGAUGAUAUUUGGGUUAGUGUUGGAAUAUGUGAUGUGUGUUCAAUCAGGCAUGGUAAACAAUUGUAGGAAGAAAACUACCAAAUUACGUAAUAUUGGACUUUUUGUUCAAUUGCUCUAUUAAUCUUAUGUCACAAAUAAUGUUCUUACUUUUCAUUUUAUUUCCCACUUUAAGCCAUUAAUAUCUUUUGGAUAGAUGAUAGUUUUUGUGAUUGUGAAUAUUUUGUUCAUAUUUGUAAAUGGUUUCAUGGUUCAUACCGACAAACUACUCAUGAUUUCAUGGUAGAAGGUACAGCAGAGCCAGACUUAGCACACACAUGUGCAUUUAUAUAUCUAUUUUUUCUUGAAUUUGUAAGUUUUAGAUGAGUUUAUGAGAUUACCAAACCUGGAAUUAAUUUCGUCAAAUAUUUGAUAUGCGAAAAUUUUGAGACAUGAUGUUUUUUCCCGUCUUUUUGCCUUUUCUUUAUCAGUCAUUUUUUUGUUUUGAAUUUGGGAUGCUAUUAGCUUAGGAAACAUUUUAUUAGGAUAAUAAUUGUUGCUCUGUCAUUGUGUGUGAUAUGACAGACCAAAAAAUUGUUUGAAAUCUUUCCUUUCUUUCUCAGUUUUCACUCUCUUCCUUACUCGUCUUCACAAAAAGACUCAUUUUAGUGAACAUGUCUACUCUGCCAAAUUGCAGGCAUGAACAAAUUCAAAUUUCUAAAUUCCUCCAAAAAUUUCAAAAACAAUAGUAGCAAUAGCAGCUCUAAAGUACAAAGAUUCUCUCACACCUCUCUCUCCUCUUCCCCAUAUACUCAUUCCUUUCAAUUAAUAUCCAAGAUUCACUAACACUUCUUUUUCACCGUAUUGUUCAAAUUUUCUUUGUAUGGAUUUGACAUGUAUAAGCAUCAAGAUACUUUUGAUAGGGUAAAUUAAUGUGUGCAUUUUUUUUUUUGAGUUUUCUAAAAUUUCUCAAAUAUUAAUUGAAAAUUUGGUUUGGAUUAUGGUGUUGUUUGAUUCUGGUGUUAUGAAGCACACUACAUUUAGUAGUUCUCUCCUUCUCCUACUCACCAUUACAUGUCUAUGUGUAUGAUUUGACUUUGCACUUGGAUAAUUGAAUUGAAAACUUUACCUGACUACUACUUCUUUAUUCUUAGUUAUAUUUUGAUUCAACAAUAUGAUUAAGGUCAUUUAUAUUUGUUUUCUAAUCAUGUGGUGUUGCUUUUGCUU